Molecule: ribosomal RNA, 161 nt
Filed under: Sarcinomyces sp. MA 4660
Lineage: Eukaryota; Fungi; Ascomycota; Eurotiomycetes; Chaetothyriales
Description: 5.8S ribosomal RNA
Rfam family: 5.8S ribosomal RNA
About the family: 5.8S ribosomal RNA (5.8S rRNA) is a component of the large subunit of the eukaryotic ribosome. It is transcribed by RNA polymerase I as part of the 45S precursor that also contains 18S and 28S rRNA.
Source: RNAcentral
CAACGGAUCUCUUGGUUCUGGCAUCGAUGAAGAACGCAGCGAAAUGCGAUAAGUAAUGUGAAUUGCAGAAUUCAGUGAAUCAUCGAAUCUUUGAACGCACAUUGCGCCCUUUGGUAUUCCGAAGGGCAUGCCUGUUCGAGCGUCAUUACAACCCUCAAGCU